Molecule: transfer RNA, 71 nt
Filed under: Cavia porcellus (domestic guinea pig)
Lineage: Eukaryota; Metazoa; Chordata; Mammalia; Rodentia; Caviidae
Rfam family: tRNA
About the family: Transfer RNA (tRNA) molecules are approximately 80 nucleotides in length. Their secondary structure includes four short double-helical elements and three loops (D, anti-codon, and T loops).
Source: Rfam by way of RNAcentral
GGGGAUAUAGCUUAGUGGUAGUGCACUUGCUUAGUAUGCACAAGGCCCAGGUUCAAUUCCCAGUAUCUCAA